Molecule: long non-coding RNA, 22652 nt
Filed under: Nicotiana tabacum (common tobacco)
Lineage: Eukaryota; Viridiplantae; Streptophyta; Magnoliopsida; Solanales; Solanaceae
Description: long non-coding RNA (NTAB_LNC005508)
Source: RNAcentral
UUUGCCAACAAUAAUUUCACAAAUGUAUAUAUAAAAUAAUAAAUUUUAUAUGUAUAUAAAUGUCAAUACAUAAAAUUGAUACACAAGUAUGUACUCACUAUAACUAAAUCUUCUAAAAUGUAUGCUUUUACUUGCAAAAAGAACAAAAGCAUCAUAUACCAAGGUUAUUAAAUUCUAAUCUAAUAAUUCCAAAAAUAAAUCUUCUUCCAACAACUUGUUGUACUGCAUGAACCAUAUUUCCAGCAAUGAGGAUUUAAGCAUGUCCAUCCUACAAAAGAAGAUAAAUAUCUUUAUAUUUUGAUAAAAGAAAGUUGUAAAGUACAAAACUACAAUUAACAAAGAAAAAGAGGAAAUCAGAUAUGCUUAUUGUCCACUUACUAAACAUUGCAAUUAUUUCAUCACUCAAAAUGUUACAUAUUACAGAAUUGUUGAAUAGAAACAUUCAACUAAAAAGAAAACUGAAUAUAAGUUGCAAAAUUAUCAGUUCAAGAGAAAUACUCCAAAUAGAAUUGAAUAAAUUGAGUUGUAAAUCUUUCAAAAAUUCCACAUCGAAGCUGAAUACUUCCCCAAACAAAGUUGUUGCACCAGAACCUACUAAAUACUCCGAAGAUACAAUAUUAUAGUCAAAACAAAAUACUAUACAAAUAUUUAUUCAAGUAAAUAGACUCAUUUGUGCAUACAACCAAGAUAUUUACUUUUUUCAUGAAAAAUAAAGUUACUUAGCAUGACUUGUAGACUUUACUCAUCCUCUUCUUCUAAAAUAUAGCACUAUAAGAUCAACAAGUAUAAAUAGUAGCAAGAAUAUGAAGGCCGUAAAACAGAGUAGAGGAAAUGAAACAUACAAUUCACUAUAUGACCUGGUUCUAUCAAUUUCAAUCUCUUCCAUAGUUUUUCCAAUUCAUUGACAAAAUCAAGAAUCCUCAAAUAAACUUAAUUAGUUGUGCAUUUGGAAUUACACAGCAGGUCCAACUCUACUAGAAACAUGUACAAUAGCCAUGCCAUAAUCAUAAUUAUAGGCUACAAGAAAUAUUGGACCACAUAAGGGAAAAAGAGAUGCAUUCAGUAAUGGAUAGUGUUAGAACAUAAACAAUAACCUUCUUCCUUGAGUUUCCACCUAGGCUGCCUAACAUAAAGAAGGGUAAAGGUAGGACAUGAUUUGAAAUAUUUAACUAAUAUUUCUAUGUGAUUAGAGAACAAUCCACUCAAGCUGCAACAAAAAGAACCAAGUUCUCUAUAGAUAAAAUUUGUAAAGAGUAAUUUCUUUCUUUAUACUAAGUAAAAAUCUUUUUCUCAAAACAAGUCCCGGUGAAUGCAAUGAGAAGGAAAUUGACUAAGUGACCUUUAGUACUAUGACCUGUUGCAUUUUGUACAGCUCUCUCUUUGCAUAUCGAAUGUUUCAUUUUUUAUUGGUUAACUCAUGAAUAUUUUUUGCAUGUGUUUAAAUCCCUACUGCACAUUAAACAAUAAAGGUUUCUAUUAAAGCAAAGAAUUACCUAUUUUUCUACAACUCACGUUUCACUGCAUUAGCAAGAGUUUUUCUCUCCGCACUUGCGCUAUCCACGGAAAAAAGGAGGCAAAUAUAAUUAGUAGUACAGAUAAUUCAAGAGCAAUUAUACACAAAUAUACAAGUGGAACUACUAAUCGGCACUAGCAGCUUAUAAAAAAGUAGUGAAUGAAUGAUAAUUGGUAGUACAAAUAAGGCUUUACGGAUGCACGACACAAAAAUUUAUAAUUUAUUCUUGAAAUCCCUGUAAUAUUGGAAAGAGUUUUUUCUUCUAGUGUUUUACUCACUUGUAAUUACUAUAGCACUUUGACCAAAAAAAAUACUACAUCACUUCCUUAGUGCUAGCUUUAUAAUACAAUUGUUUUUCUCUAAAAAUGAUUUACUUCUUGAACCUCAAACUUCUUUAGUGCAAGACACUAAGAUUUAUCAAUAAACUAAGGAACAGAAAGGUCACUAUAGUUUUAAUUUUAACAAGGCAACUAAUUCUCUUAAGCUUCUAGUUAAAACCACAAUAAUUAUUAGAUUUUACCGAAUUUUUUUAGAGAACAAAUAACACCUAAUCUCACAAAAUAUCCAAUCACUUAGAACCCGAAAUGUCCAUUGAAACCAGAGAUACAGAUACAACAUCUUCCUCAAGAUGAACGAUAGUAAUACUCACAUCACUAAGUGUAAAUAUUUUCACUCUGCGUUUCCAUCACUAGUGAGGAUAAAAUCAGUACGAUUGAAAUAUAUUAAGUCAAUUUUCAAACAUAUAUAGAUGCUAAAGAAACGAAUAUAGACAAAGCAGAAACUAACUUACAGUGAGAUGUGGGAAUCAAAGUAACACAAUCAAAGAGAGACUUGCAUCCGCAAAGCCAGAAAUAGCCUAUUCUUUAGGAGCAUUACAACCCAAAAAAUAUAGCCAAAGCAUAUGCCAAAAUCUACAUCUAUCCCAAUUCCAAAAAGCACAAAUAUACCACAUAAAAAAUAAUUACAGUCACUAUCUGCUUGUGAAUCUUCAAUCAAUAGAAAGGAAGGUAGUAUUUUAAAAAAAAAAGGUAAAAUAGAAAUACCAACCGAAUAAGACAUGAGACCAUUGAUUAGAAUUGGAAUGGAGCUAUAAGUACUAAUGUGAAUGAAUCACACUAUCUUUGUUUAGAACCUGCAAAAAAAAAAUGGUUUAUUUGAUGCCCAAGUUUUUGCUUUGAGAAAGCGUCGACCCUGGUUAGGACCUCCUAACUAAAAACAUACAAUUGAAGCAUUCAAGGAAUUGAAACCCUAAACUAGAAACAACUAAAACUAGAGAUGAAGGAGCUUACAAUUUUAAGCCAUAGCCGCACUACUAAAAGAUAAGGUUGUCGCUCAUUUGAACCUUGUAACUCAAAAGCACGAGCCGAAGGGUUGAACGAAUUGGUAAAGAUGAAAGCCAAAAUAAAAAUAAAAAGGGGGAGUGAUUCGGGGAUAAAAGGGAGGGACGUUUGGCGCGUUUGUUUUUGCUAAAAAUUGAGAAAGAAUUAAAUAUUGUUUAGGCCACAUGUCAAACAAACUGUUAAGAAAAAUAAGUAUUUUACCAACAAGAAAAUGCUUUUGGCAACACUGACAAUUUAUUGUUGACAAUUUAUUUAUAUUUUAAAAUCAUUAUAUUACCCAAAAAGUUAUGGCAACAAAAUUAAAACAUUAGCCAACGAGAAAUUUUUUGUAAGUUAACGUUCUAUGAUAUAGCAACAACUAAAUAGAGUUGUUGCUAUUUAUUAAUAUUUAGCAACAAUAUCAUUGUUGUUGCUAAAAAGUUAUUGCAAAUUAUAUACUUUCUUGUAGUGUUUAAUAAUUGUCUUAAUCUUAUGAAUAACAAUAUUUUUGUCUAAAAUUGCUAAGUGAUUUUUUAUUAUGCUCUCACUUGGUUUAAUAUGAUUUCUUUGCCUAUCCUUUUAUAAUGUAUAGAUGAUAUAAUAUAUAAUAUAUGAUAUAUAGAUACCUCCUUUAAUAUAACAUAGAUAAUAUAGAUUUUUUAUGUCACGACCCAAAUUCUCCCUCCGUGAGAUGUCGUAACGGCACCUAGUCUCUACGACUAGGUAACCUUAACACUUGCGAAAUAAUAUUAAUGAAAGCAUAAAUUUAACAACUAACUGCAACAGACAAUUAAAUAGUUGAUAUAAGUGUCGCUCGGCAUGUACAAUAACCAACUCUCGAAUAUACACAAAAUAUCCCCAAGACCCGGAACAUCAUAAGUCACAAGCUUCUAAGUAUUUGUCUAACUGCUGCUAGACAUCAGUAACGAGAAAAGGUAAAGGAGGAACAACAUAAAAGGGAUAGAGGGGGACUCCAAGGUCUGUGAACGCGGGCAGAAAUACCUUGAAAUCUCCGGAGCAGCAACAAGUACGCAACUAAUAGCGGGACUUGUAGAAGGUACCUGGAUCUGCACACGAAAUAUGUGCAAAAGAGUAGCAUGAGUACACCUCAACGGUACCUAGUAAGUGCCAAGCCUAACCUCGGUCGAGUAGUGACGAGAUCAGGUCAGGGACCUACUGGUAUAUAUAAAUUAAAUAAUACAAAAUAACAAUAUCGCAGUUUAAUAAGAGACUGAAAUUUAUCAAAAAGGAAAUUAAGAAGAAUAAAGUACAACACACAGGGGUAAAACAGCAGGGGAUCUCUCGAGAUACCGUCUCGUGGUCCUAAAAGUAAAUGUGCAAGGAGAGAUCUCCCGGGAUACCGUCUCGUAGUCCCAAAGUAAAUAUACAGGGGGAUAUCUCGGGACACCGUCCCGUAGUCCUAAAGUAAAUAUGUAGGGGAUCUCUCGGGAUACCGUCCCAUAGUCCCAAAUUAAAUACGCAGCUCAAAACAAUGGAAAUAACAGGUACAACAAGAAAAUCCUACAAUUUAGACUAAGUACACAUCAAGGAAGAUCAGGAAAACUUCCACUAAGCAUGUUGCACAGAGUUCAGAUAAGCAUUUAAGACAAGUAGACAUGCGAUUUUAGGUUAAACAGGGUAACUACACAUGCUAGUAUAACUCAAUUAAGAUGAAACAGGUUAUUACUUAGUAAAAAUCGGGUUUUACAACAAAUAACCCAUGUACGCACUCGUCACCUCACGUACACGGCGAUCACAUAUCACAUCAGUACCAAAUCCUAAGGGGAGUUCCCCAACACAAGGUUAGGCAAGUCACUUACCUCGAACCAAUCUCAAUCAAUCGGUAACAAUGCCUUUUCCACGAUUUUCUGAUUCUGAAUGGCCCAAAUCUAGACAAAAGUAAUUACAUACCAUAAAUACAACUAUAAGAAACUAAUCUAAUUAAUAAAAUCAAGGCUUAAGCAAGCAUUUAGAAAAUCGUCCCAAAAGGUCGACCCGGGCCCACGUCACGGGAUAGGGUAAAAGUCAUAAAAUAUGAACACUCAUUCACUCACGAGUUUACUCGUACCAAAAUUAUCCAAAUCCAAUAUUAAAAUCCAAAUCAAAUCUCAAAAACAUAGUUGAAGAACUUUAAAACUUUUUCCCAAAUUUCUCAACCCAAAUCCUCAAUUAAAUGAUGAAAUCAACUAUAGAUUAGUGGAAUAUAACCAUAAAUGAGUUAAGAAUAAUUACCUAAAAGCUUCCUCUAACAAUCUCCCAAAUUAUGCCCCAAAUUCGAGCGCUAAAAGUCCCAAAAUUGAAAAUGGGAUAAAACCCUCGAACUUGCCCUUUUCUGCCCAGUCGCACCUGCGACACCGCACCUGCGGAAUUUCCAUCGCAGGUGAGGAUUCCACUUAAAUUCAAAUAUUCCACUUUUGCGGACCAGGACUCGCACCUGCGGGCCCACUUCUGCAGAGGACCUUCCGCUUCGGCGACUCUGCCCCAGGUCGCCACUUUCCGCUUCUGCGGUCACUCUUACGCAUCUGCGGAUGCACAGAUGCGGCUCCCGUUUCACACUUGUUCCCCCAGCUGGGCCAAUCUAGCCUCGCACCUACAGCCACACGCUCGCUCUUGCGAGUCCGUAUAUGCAGCCAACCCCACCGCAGGUGCGGUGACACCAGAACAACAGUGCUUCAGCAAUUCUUCCAACUCCCAAUUUGGUCCGUUAACCACACGGAAUCCACCCGAGGCCUACGGGACCUCAACCAAACAUACCAACAAGUCCUAAAGUAUCAUACAAACUUAGGCAAGCCCUCAAAUCACAUCAAACAAUGCUAAAAAUACGAAUCACCCUCCAGUUCAAACUUAAUGAACUUUGAAACUUCAAACUCCUACAACCGAUGCCUAAACCUAUCAAAUCACUUCCGAUUGACCCUAAAUUAUGCACACAAGUCAUAAUUGACAUUUCGAACUUACUCCAUCUUCUGUAAUCGGAAUCCGACCCUGAUAUCAAAAAGUCCACUUCCGGUCCAAAUCUGCAAAAAUUCAAUUUAUACCAUUUCAAGACUAAUUCAGCUACAGACCUCAAAAACAUAAUCCGGAUGCACUCCUAAGUCCAAAAUCACCAAACAGAGCUAACAAAACUGACAAAACUCCAUUCCGGAGUCGUCUUCACACAGUUCCAACCACAGUCAAAAUCCUAGAACUUAAGCUUCCAUUUUAGGGAUUAAGUGUCCUAAAUCACUCCGAAACCAUAAACAAAACCUCCCGGCAAGUCACAUAAGCAGAAAAAGAUACGGGGAAAGCAGUUAAUAGGGGAUCAGGUCUAUUACUCUCAAAAUGACCGGCCGGGUCGUUACAUCCUCCCCCUCUUAAAAUAAUCGUUCAUACUCAAACGAGCAUAGAGACAUACCUGAAGUGGUGAAAAGAUAUGGAUAACGGCUGCGUAUAUCAUGCUCGGUCUCCCAAGUUGCCUCAUCGACCGGCUGACCCCUCCACUGAACCUUCACUGAAGUAAUGCUCUUUGACCUCGGCUUUCGAACCUGCCUGUCCAUAAUAGCCACCGGUUCCUCAACAUAAGAUAAAUCCUCGUCCAACUGGACUGAGCUGAUAUCCAACACAUGAGAUGGAUCACUGUGAUACUUUCGGAGCAUAGAGACAUGGAAUACCGGAUGAACUCCUGCUAGACCGGGAGGUAAGGCAAGCUCAUAAGCAACCUCCCCAACUUGCCGCAACACCUCGAAUGGACCAAUAAACCUUGGGCUCAGCUUGCCCUUCUUCCCGAACCUCACAACACCAUUCAUAGGCGAAACCUAGAGCAAGACCCACUUUCAAGCCAUGAAUGCAACAUCGUGAACCUUCCGAUCGCAUAACUCUUCUGACUGGACUAGGCUGUGCGAAGUCGAUCCUAAAUUACUUUUACCUUCUCCAAAGCAUCCUGAACAAAUUCUGUGCUCAAUAGCCUAGUCUCACCCGGUUCGAACUAACCCACCGGAGACCGACAUCGUCUACCAUACAAUGUCUCAUAUGGUGCAAUCUGAAUGCUUGACAAAAAACUAUUGGUGUAGGCAAACUCUUCAAGUCGUAAGAACUGAUCCCAAGUACCUCCCAACUCCAUCACACACACAUGGAGCAUAUCCUCUAGUAUCUGAAUAGUGCGCUCGGACUGUCCGUCCGUCUGAUGGUGAAAUGUUGUGCUCAACUAAACUCGAGUACCUAACACAUAUUGUAUGGCUCUCCAAAACCGUGAUGUAAGUUGCGUACCCCGGUCAGAGAUGAUAGAUACCGGCACACCAUGAAGCCUGAUAUAAACUCGAGCCAGCUGCUCGGAAGAAUAAGUAGUCAUCACAGAAAUGAAAUGAAUUGACUUGGUCAGCCUGUCUACAAUCACUCAAACUGCAUCAAACUUUCGUUGAGUCCGUGGAAGCCCAACAACAAAAUCCAUAGUGAUCCGCUCCCGUUUCCACUCCAGAAUCUCUAACUUCUGAAGCAACCCACCUGGCUGCUGAUGCUUAUACUUCACCUGCUGGAAAUGUAGACACCGGGCUACAUAUUCCACUAUGUCCUUCUUCAUUAUCCUCCAAUAAUAAUGCUGCUUCAAGUCCUGAUACAUCUUCGCGACACCCGGAUGAAUAGAGUACCGCGAACUGUGAGCCUCCUGGAGAAUCAACUCACGCAAUCCGUCUACAUUGGGCACACAUAGCAUGUCCUGCAUCCUCAAUGCACCAUCAUCUCCAAUAGUGACCUCCUUAGCAUCACCGUGCUAAACCGUGUCCUUAAGGACGAGCAUAUGGGGGUCAUCUUACUGACGCUCCCUGAUACGACCAUAAAGAGAAGACUGGGAGACUACACAAGCCAAAACUCAUCUCGGCUAAUAAAUAUCCAAUCUAACAAACUGGUUGGCUAAGGCCGGAAUAUCCAAUGCCAAUGGCCUCUCUGCUGCUGGUAGAUAUGCUAAGCUCCCCAAACUCUCCGCCCUGUGACUCAGGGCAUCGGCCACCACAUUGACCUUCCCGGGAUGGUAGAGAAUAGUGAUGUCAUAAUCCUUAAGCAUCUCUAACCACAUCCGCUGAUGCAAGGUAAGAUCCUUUUGCUUGAACAGAUGUUGCAAACUCCGGUGAUCAGUGUAGAUCUCACAAGGGACACCGUACAAAUAGUGCCGCCAAAUCUUUAAGGCACGAACAAUAGCUGAUAACUCAAGGUCGUGGACAUGAUACUUCUUUUCAUGUACCUUCAGUUGUCUUCAUGCGUAGACAAUCACCCUACGGUCCUGCAUCAACACUAUUACAUAUCAUAAUAUACAAUAUAAGACCUCGAACCUGUAGGAAAUACCAAUACCGGGGCCGUAGUCAAAGCUGUCUUGAGCUUUUGAAAGCUCUCUUCACACUCCUCUGUCCAUCUGAAUGGAGCACCCUUCUGUGUCAGCCUAGUCUUAGGUGCUGCAAUAGAUGGGAAACCUUCUACAAAUCGACGGUAAUACCCCCGCCAACCUAAGGAAACUCCGGAUCUCCGUAGCUGAUGACGGUCUGGGCCAACUCUGCACUACUUCCACUUUCUUCGGAUUCACUUUGAUCCCCUCACUCGACACUACGUGACCCAAAAAUGCUACUGAGUCUAACCAGAACUCACACUUUGAAAUUUUUGCAUAUAACCUCUUUUCUCUGAAGGUUUGAAGCACAGUCCUCAGGUGCUGCUCACGAUCCCCCCGACUCCGGGAGUACACUAGAAUGUCGUCAAUAAACACAAUGAUAAACGAGUCAAGAUAGGUCCGGAAUACACUGUGCAUCAAAUGCAUAAAUGCUGCUGGGGCGUUGGCAACCCAAAUGACAUCACAAGGAACUCGUAAUGACCGUACCGAGUCCUGAAAGCAGUCUUCGGGAUAUCUGGCUCCCGAAUUUUCAACUGAUGAUAACCUGAAUGUAAGUCAAUCUUGGAAUACACUAUGUCACCCUAUAACUGAUCAAAUAAUUCAUCAAUACGAGGCAAUGGAUACCUGUUCUUCAUUGUAACUUUGUUCAACUGGUGAUAAUCAAUGUACAUACGCAUAGAACCAUCCUUCUACUUCACAAAUAAGAUUGGGGCACCCCAAGGUAACACACUAGGCCAAAUGAAGCCCUUAUCAAGUAAUUACUGUAACUGUUCCUUCAACUCCUUCAACUCAGGAGGAGCCAUAAGAUAUGGAGGAAUAGAGAUGGAUUGAGUUCCCGGCAACAAAUCAAUACCAAAGUCGAUAUCUUUGUAGGGCGGCAUGCCUGGAAGAUCUGCUGGAAAUACAUCAGGAAAAUCCCUCACUAUUGGGACUGACUCAACUGUAGGGGUAUCNNNNNNNNNNNNNNNNNNNNNNNNNNNNNNNNNNNNNNNNNNNNNNNNNNNNNNNNNNNNNNNNNNNNNNNNNNNNNNNNNNNNNNNNNNNNNNNNNNNNNNGAUACGCGGCAUAACCCUUCUCAACCAUUCGUUGAGCUUUAAUAAAUGAACUAACUCAGCUGGAAGUAUAAUCUAAGGUACUUCUCCACUUUAACCGCGGUAAUCCUUGAAUAGACAACGUCACAGUCUUGGCGUGACAAUCAAGAGUAGCAUAAUGGGGUGACAACCAGUCCAUGCCUAAAAUAAUAUCAAAAUCUACCAUACUGAGCAAUAAUAGAUCGGUUCUGGUCUCAAAACCACUAAGAACAACCAAACACGAUCGAUACACACGGUCAACAACAAUAGAAUCUCCCACAGGUGUAGACACAUAAACAUGAGAACUCAAGGAAUCACGAGAUAUGCCCAAAUACAUGACAAAAUAACAUGACACAUAGGAAUAUGUAGAGCCUAUAUCAAAUAAAAUUGAUACAUCUAUAUGAUAGACCGGAAUACUACCUGUAAUAACAACGUCAGAAGCAACUACCUUUGUACGAGCAGGAAGAGAAUAAUAUCGGGCCUGGCCUCCCCCUCUAGGGUGACCUCUACCUCCCCGACCUCCACCUCGAGCUGGCUAAGCAGGUGGAGUGGUAGCUGCUGCUGUAAUCAUAGCCUGAGGACCGGUGGAGCACAUGGUGUCUGAGAAGUCUAUAGAGGUGCACCCCUCCUAGGUCUGGGGUAAUCCCUUACCAUAUGGCGAGUGUCGCCACACUCAAAACAAGCUCUCGGAGGGCAUGGCUGUUGUGGUUGGCUCGGGCCAAGUUUGCUGGAUUGACCGCUGAAAGCACCCAUGCAUGAGGUACACUAGAUACUGGCGGUGCAUAAUACGACUCCUAGGGCCUUGUAGUAGCCGGAAUACCACUGGCGGCUGGAAGUGCUGAAUGAACAUAGCGACUCACACAACCCCUACCAUGUCAAACUGCAGCCGUGUCACGAGUACCAGUAUAAGUGCCCGACUCUCGAGACCUCUUGGCCUUCCUCUCCUCUCUCUCUCGAGCAAGCAUGCCCUCUACUCUCCUAGCAAUACUCACGACCUGUUGGUACGAAAUAUUCAUCUCCAACUCUCGGGCCAUGCUAAUCCUGAUGCUGGGAUGGAGCCCCUUGAUAAACCGACGAACCCUCUCUCGAACUGUAGCAACCAAGACCGGUGCAUGUCUAGCCAAAUCACUGAAACGAACUGCAUACUCUGACACAGUGAUAGCACCCUAGCGCAACUGCUCAAAGGUGGAGUGUCAUGCAUCUAUGAGGCUCUAGGGAACAUACUCCCUCAAAAACAUAUCCGAGAAUUGAGUCCAAGUAAGUGCAGCUACCUCAGCCGGACUUUCCAACUCAUAAGUACGCAACCACUGAUAGGCUGCUCCUCUAAGAUGUAACACAGUGAAAGAAACCCCACUCGACUCAGUUACGCCCAUAGUAUGGAGGAUACGGUGGCAAUCCUUAAGAGAACCCUAGGUAUCCUCUAACGCCAAACCACUAAAAGUAGGAGGGUGCUACUUCUGGUACCUCUCGAGCCUAUGCUGCUCCUCUUCAGAAACUGCUGCCCCUACCCUUAAGCUGAACUGGGGCUACUGGCGACACCUAUAUAACCUUUGGAAUCUGAUCGACCUGAACCCAUUGCAUGGGGUAUGAGCAGCGAAAGUCUGUACACUUCCCCUGAAUUGAGAUGUGGUAGGAGCAAGGGGAAUCAACCGUACCUGAUCUAGAGUAUCGAACAUGCUCAGGAACUGUGCAAGGGUCUCCUAGAGAGCUGGUGCAAUGACAGGCAUCUCGGGUGCCUGCGCUCCGACUGGAGCUACUGGUGGCUCCUUUAUAGUGGCUUGUGCAGGUGCUCUGGCUGCACUACGUGGACGUCCUAGGACUCUACCCCGGCCCCGGCCUCUCGCGGCUCUAGCAGGGGCACGGGUACCUGGUCAUCUGAUCCGGCUGUAUGUGUCUUCACCAUUUGUGAGAGAAUAGAAGACAGAGGUUUAGAAUUUCGAAGUCAACAGUUUCGCAUGACAAGGAUUCAAAAGAAGUGAAAUUUUCCUAACAGUUCCAUAGCCUCCCGAAGAUAAGUACAAACAUCUCCAUACCGAUCCGGGAGACUCUACUAAACCUGCUUGUGACUCACGACACCUAUGAACCUAGACCUCUGAUACCAAAAUGUCAUGACCCAAAUACUCCCUCCGUGAGAUGCCGUGAUGGCACCUAGUCUCUACGCCUAUGUAAGCGUAACACUUGCGGAAUAAUAAAAAUGAAAGCAUAAAUUUAACAACUAACUGCAACAAAUAAUUAAAUAAUUGAUAUAAGUGCCACUCGACAUGUACAAUAACCAACUCUCGAAUAUACACAGAAUUUCUUCAAGACCCGGAACAUCAUAAGUCACAAGCUUCUAUGAAUUUGUCUAACUAUUUCUAUACAUCAGUAAAUAGAAGAAGUAAAUGAGGAACAACAUAAAAGCGAUAGAGGGGGACUCUGAGGUCUGCGGACGCGGGAAUAUGUACCUUGAAGUCUCCGGAGCAGGCAAGUACGCAACUAAUAGCGGGGCUGGUAGGAGGUACCUGGAUAUGCACACAAAACAUGUACAGAAGAGUAGCAUGAGUUCACCAUAAUGGUACCCAGUAAGUACCAAGCCUAACCUCGGUCGAGUAGUGACGAGGUCAGGUCAGGGCCCUAUUGGUAUAUAUAAAUUAAAUAAGGCAAAAUAAAAAUAUUGCAGUGUAAUAAGAGACUGAAAGUUAACAAAAAAGAAAUCACAGAAGAACAGUAUAGUACACAGGGGUAAAACAAUAGGGGAUCUCUCGAGAUACCGUCUCGUAGUCCCAAAAAUAAAUGUGCGGGAGGGGGGGGGGGGGAAAUCUCCCGGGAUACCGUCCCAGAGUCCCAAAGUAAAUAUGCAGGGGGAUCCCCCAGGAUACUGCCCCAUAGUCCCAAAGUAAAUAUGCACGGGGGAUCUCCCGGGAGACUGUCCCGUAGUCCCAAAGUAAAUUUGCAGGGGGAUCUCCCGGGAUACCGUCUCGUAGUCCCAAAGUAAAUACGCACAUCAAAACAAUGGAAAUAAUAGGUAGGCAAGAAAAUCCUACAGUUUAGUAAAAAUCAGGUUUUACAAGUUAUUACUUAGUAAAAAUCAGGUUUUACAACAAAUAACCCAUGAACGCAGUCGUCGCCUCACGUACAUGACGAUCUUAUAUCACAUCAGUACCAAAUCCCCAGGGGAGUUCCCCCACACAAGGUUAGGCAAGCGAUUUACCUCAAACCAAGCUCAAUCAAUCGGUAACAAUGCUGUUUCCACUAUUUUCCGACUCCGAAUGGCCCAAAUCUAGCCAAAAACAAUUACAUACCUUAUUUACAACUAUAAGAAACUAAUCUAAUUAAUGAAAUCAAGGCUUAAGCCAGAAAUUAGAAAAUCUAAAUGUCGACCCGGGCCCACAUCUCGGGAUCGGGUAAAAUUCUCAAAAUAUGAACACUCAUUCACUCACGAGUUCACUCGUACCAAAAUUAUCCAAAUACGAUAUCAAAAUCCAAAUCAAAACUCAAAAACUUAGUUGAAGAACUUUCCAAUUUUUUCCCGAAUUUCUCAACCCAAAUCCUCAACUAAAUGAUGAAAUCAACUAUAGAUUAGUGGAAUAUAACCAUAAAUGAGAUAACAAUCGUUACCCAAAAGCUUCCUCUGAAAAUCUUCCAAAUUAUCGCCCAAUUCCGAGCUCUCAAAGUCCCAAAAUUGAAAAUGGGAUAAAACCCUCGAACUUGGCCCUUUUCUGCCCAGUGAUUCCGCUUCUAUGGGCUUCCAGUCACACAUGCGAUGCCGCACCUGCGGGCACACGCUCAUUCCUGCGAGUCCGCAUCUGCGGCCAACCCCACCGCAGGUGUGGUGACACCAGAACAUCAGUGCUUCAGCAAUUCUUCUAACUUCUAAUUUGGUCCGUCAACCACCCGAAAUCCACCCGAGGCCCUCGGGACCUCAACCAAAUAUACCAAUAAUUCUUAAAAAAUAAUAUGAUCUUAGUCAAGCACUCAAAUCACAUCAAACGAUGCUAAAAACAUGAAUCACCUUCUAGUUCAAACAUAAUGAACUUUGAAACUUUAAACUCGUACAACCGAUGCUGAAACCUAUCAAAUCACGUCCGAUUGACCUCAAAUUUUGCACACAAGUCAUAAUUGACAUUAUGAACCUACUCCAACUUCUGGAAUCAGAAUCCGACCCCGAUAUCAAAAAGUCCAUUUGCGGUCAAAAUCUCCAAAAAUUCAAUUUUCGCCAUUUCAAGCCUAAUUCAGCUACAUACCUCCAAAACACGAUCCGGACGUGCUCCUAAGUUCAAAAUCACCCAACGGAGCUAAUGGAACCGGCAAAACUCCAUUCAAGAGUCGUCUUCACACAGUUCCAACCACGGCCAAAAUCCUAGAACUUAAGCUUCCGUAAAUUACUCCGAAACCACAAAUAAAACCUUUCGGCAAGUCACAUAAGCAGAAAAAGAUAUGGGAAAAGCAGUAAAUAAGGGAUCGGGGCUAUAACUCUCAAAACGACCAGGUGGGUCGUUACAUCUUACUUCGUCCAAUAUAAAUAUUUUUAUUAUUAUUUUGUAUAAAAUGUAUCAAUAUUUUCAUUAUCUUUUUCUACAUUAUAUCGAAUAAGUAAUUAGACUUUUCUUCUAUUUUAUUUUUGAUAUAAAGUUUUGAUUUGUAUAUUUUUUUAUUAUGUUGCUCUUAAUUAUUUCUAAUUCAAAUUAUAAUUUUCUUCUAUAUUUAAAUUCAAAUUCAAAAAGAGUAACUAAUUAUUAAUAAUAAAUAAUGCAUAAUUUAUUUAUUUUUUAAAUGUAAAUUAAAAAAGCUAACUAUUACCUAACCUAACUAAUUUUGUCCUAAAAUUGUCAAGUGAAUUUUUAUUAUGUUGCCACUUUGCUUACUAUGGUGUCAUUACCUCUCCUACUAUAUAUAGAUAGAUUAUAUGGAAUAAGCAAUUAGACUUUUCUUUUAUUUUGUUUUCAAUAUAAAGUUUUGAUUUUUAUAUUUUUUACUAUGUUGCUUGUAAGUAUUUGAAUUUCAAAUUAGACUUUUCUUCUAUAUUUAAAUUCAAAUUCACAAAUGAUAAUUAAUUAUUAAUAAUAAAUAAUGCAUGUUUUUUUUUAAAAAUUAAAUCAAAAAAGAAACUAAUUAUUACCUAACCUAACUAACUUGGUCCUAAAAUUGCCAAGUGGCUUGUUAUUGCCACAUGGCACAUGUCACGACCCCAAUAUUUCCCCCGUAGGAUGUCGUGAUGGCACCUAGUCUUAGCGACUAGGUAAGCCUAACAUGUGCUAAAAUAAUAACCAUAUUUAUCUAACGACUGACCAAUACGAAAUAGAAAUCUCCAUACAAAACUUACAAUUCCAAAACUGGUAGUACAAGUCAUAAGCUCUACUGAGUUUGAGUCUCCACAACAAGAUUCAAACAGCUAGCUAGCGAUGGACUGACUCCGAAAUAUCUGGAUCUGCACAAAAAUAUGCAGAAGCGUAGUUUGAGUAUACCACAGCGGGACCCAGUAAGUAUCAAGACUAACCUCAGUGGGGUAGUGACGAAGGGAAGUCAAGACACCUAUUGGACUAAAUAACCUGGACAAGUAUAGGUGUAGAACAAACAGAGUACGAUUUCUCUACAAAACUACGCGUAAUGACAACAAAAAUAUAGUACUUGCAGUAGGAAAUAUAAGCAACAAUUAGAAGUAGGACACAACAAGUAAUAACACAGUAGAGUAAGCGGAACACAGUUUAAAUCCAAUGAAAACAAAUAAUGGAAAGACAAGUAACAACUCGAUAAGAAUAACCGCUUUCACACCAGGUUGAUCCAAUAAUCUCCACGAGGUACCAAACCUCAAAAUAGUCACAAUUCACGGGUCCCAAUUCGUGAACCCUAAUCACUUGUGUCACGACCCGGAUUUUCUACUGUCGGGAUCGUGAUGGCGCCUAAAAUUUCACUUACUAGGCAAGCCAACGUUAGAAUAGUUCAUCCAUUUUUAACAGUUUGAAUUAAAUAAUGCGAAAUAACUGAAUAAAUGAUAUAAUCUGAAGUAUAAAUGUGGAAGCUAAGACUGCCAAAUAUCUACUACAAAUCCCUGAACCUGGUGUCACAAGUGCAUGAGCUACUAAAAUAAUGCAUACAAGGGUUUGAAAUAAAUACAGAGUUGUCUAAAUGAAAAUACAUAGCCUAAUAAAAGGAAGAGAAGGGGACUCCAGGAGCUGCGGGAACUGAGCAGCUGUACCUCAAGUCUUCGUACGCUGUCUGACCCGAGCUCACUGAUAACCGCUACUGGGAUCGACUCACAAAUCUGCACAAGAAGUGCAGAGUAUAGUAUGAGUAAAACCGAGCCCAUGUACUCUAUAAGUGCCGAGCCUAACCUCGACGAAUUAGUAACGAGGCUAAGGCGGGUCACCUAUACUACAACCUGUACAUAGUAUAUAAUAACGGAAGAAAUGGAAAUACGGAACACGAUAAGACAGUCAACUGAAAAUAAUGACUACAGCCUCAAGAAAUAAACCAGUGUCCUUCAGAAUUACCAAUCCUUAGCAUUUCAAAUGAGAAAACCGAAAACCAAACAUAGCUCAAGAAAUGGAAACACAUAGGUUGUUUCGGCACGCAACCCGAUCCCACCGUAUAACACAGAAUCCUCCCUUAUUACAAUGUAAUAACAUCAACAACAGNNNNNNNNNNNNNNNNNNNNNNNNNNNNNNNNNNNNNNNNNNNNNNNNNNNNNNNNNNNNNNNNNNNNNNNNNNNNNNNNNNNNNNNNNNNNNNNNNNNNNNNNNNNNNNNNNNNNNNNNNNNNNNNNNNNNNNNNNNNNNNNNNNNNNNNNNNNNNNNNNNNNNNNNNNNNNNNNNNNNNNNNNNNNNNNNNNNNNNNNNNNNNNNNNNNNNNNNNNNNNNNNNNNNNNNNNNNNNNNNNNNNNNNNNNNNNNNNNNNNNNNNNNNNNNNNNNNNNNNNNNNNNNNNNNNNNNNNNNNNNNNNNNNNNNNNNNNNNNNNNNNNNNNNNNNNNNNNNNNNNNNNNNNNNNNNNNNNNNNNNNNNNNNNNNNNNNNNNNNNNNNNNNNNNNNNNNNNNNNNNNNNNNNNNNNNNNNNNNNNNNNNNNNNNNNNNNNNNNNNNNNNNNNNNNNNNNNNNNNNNNNNNNNNNNNNNNNNNNNNNNNNNNNNNNNNNNNNNNNNNNNNNNNNNNNNNNNNNNNAUAUAUAUGGUGGCGCGCAACCCUAUCCCACCAUAUAUCAAUAUCAGUAUCAUAAUUCACCCUUAUUUCACUAUAUCAAUCCACCCUUAUUCCACCUGUUGUGGCGUGCAACCCAAUCCCACUAUACAGUACUCGUUCACCCUUAUUCCACCAUGUCAAUCCACCCUUAUUCCACCUGUUGCGGUGUGCAACCCGAUUCCACCAUAUCAGUACCAAAUACCCAAUGUGCACAGUCAAAUUAAUAAUACAAACCACGAAAACCUUUACGAUCAAUAAAUACCAUGCUGAACCAUAACGAAAAACCUCGUACAACACAGGAAGCUACAUAGGUAAUACUACACAGCGUGACCAAACCAGUAGUUGACAAUUAGAAGGUGCAAGUAAGUCAGAUUAAGCAAAUAGCAGGGUAUCACGAAACUAUGAAAAGAGCUAACAUCAUUAACAGGAGAGGAUAUUGAUUAACAGGUAGCAGUUAUGCAUGGAAAGCAUUUAGAGCAUAUAACAUAUAAGACAUGGAUGGAAAUAAUUAAGGAAAAGUAGAAAAUCAGGGAAAACAGCAAAUUCGGCGAUGUAUAAGUACUCGUCACCUUGCAUAUACUCUGCUCAUAUGAAAAUCACAUAGCAUAUAGUAUGACGGUUCCUAAUUCCCUCAAGUCAAGGUUAGACACAACACUUACCUCACUCCAAAAGACCACUCAAAGCUCAACCACAGCUUUGCCUUUCAAACAAGCCUCCGAAUCAACAAUAUCUAGCAAAUUACCAACAAAACAAUUCAAAAUAAGCCUUAGGAAUCACCCAUGAUUGCAAAAGAUUCAAUUUAGGUCAAUAUUGAAAAAGUCAACAAAAGUCAACUCCCGGUCUUGCUUAGUCCAAAGCCGAAAUUCAGACCAAAGCCGGAUAACCCAUUCACCCUCGAUCUCGAUUAUGUAAUUUGUUUUGGAAUCUGUUCUCAAUUUGAGGUCUAAAUCCGAAUUUUACAAAAAUCCAUAAUUCAACCCAAACCCCCAAAUUCCCACCAUGAAAACACUAGAUUUUAGGUUCAAACUUGUGAAAUGUAAUGAAAGAUUGAAAGAAAAUAGGUUAGGAUCACUUACCAAUGAUUUGGGGAAGAAGGGUGCUUGGGAAAAUCGCCCCUAUGGUUUUCUUGUUUUGAAAAUUUGAAGAAUGAGUGAAAAUUCCCUUUUUAUAGCUAUUUGAUCAGUCGCAGGUGUCAUAUUUGCGAACCUACAAAUGCGAAGAGUGACCAGUCCUGCUGCCUUCGCAAAUGCGAUCAUAAUGUUCGCAAAUGCGGACCUUUGUUGAUUGCAAAUGCGACCCCAAUUUUGCAAUUGCGAAAGUCCUCCCCCAGCCCACUGCUCGCUAAUGCGAUGUUUCCUUCGCAAAUGCUUUGUGAGCCAGACCUCGCAAAUGCGAAGUAUGCAGAACUGAUGCAGCGACUGUGUUUUUUCUAAGUUCAAUUCACUCCGUAGCCUAGCCGAAACUCACCUGAUCCCUCGAGGCUCCAAACCAAACAUGCACACAAAUCCAAAAAUAUCAUACGAACUAGCUCGCGCGAUCAAAUCGCCAAAAUAACACCUAGAAUUACCAAUUGAACACCAAAUCAAAUGAAAUUUACAAGAAAACUUUAAAACUUAUAUUUUCAAAACCAGACGUCCGAAUCACGUCAAACCAACUCUGCUUCUCACCAAAUUUGACAGGCAAGUCAUAAAUAUAGUAAUGGACCUGUACCGGGCUCCGAAACCAAAACACGUACCCGGUAUCAACAAGACCAAACAUCAGUCAAUUCCUAAAAUCAUUAAGCUUUCAAACUUUCAAUUUUCAACAAAAAUUAAAAACUCGAGCUAGGGACAUCCGAAUUCGAUUCCGAGCAUACGUCCAGGUCCCAAAUUACGAUACGGACCUACCAUGACCGUCAAAACACGGAUUCGGGUCCGUUUUCUUAAAACAUUGAUCGAAGUCAACUCAAAUGAAUUUUUAAGGCAAGAAUUCUUAUAUUUAUCAGUUUUUAACCUAUAAGCCUUUCAAAAAAACACUCAGACUGUGCAUGCAAAUCGAGGAAGGCUAAAAUAGCAUUUUAAGGCUUCGAAACACCGAAUAAGGUUCUAAUAUAUAAGAUGACAUAUUGGGUCAUCAUAUUCUCCACCUCUAAAACAAUAGUUCAUCCUCGAACGGACAUAGAAAAGUACCUGGGCUGGUGAAAAAGUGUGGAUAUCUACUCCGCAUGUCCGGCUCGGACUCCCAAGUAGCUGCCUCGACGGGCUGACCUCUCCACUGCACUCGAACUGAAGGAUAACUCUUGGACCUCAACUGACGAACUUGCCGGGCUAGAAUAGCUACCGGCUCCUCCUUGUAAGUCAAAUCCUUAUCCAACUAGACAGAGCUGAAAUCUAGCACAUGGGAUAGAUCACCGUGAUACUUCCGGAGCAUGGACACAUGGAAUACCAGAUGAACUGCUCACAAACUAGGUGGCAAUGCGAGCUUGUUAGCCACCUCACCCACUCUAUAAAGAAUCUCAAAAGGUCCGAUAUACCUAGGGCUCAACUUGCCCUUCUUUCCAAACCUCAUUACACCCUUCAUGGGUGAUACCCGGAGCAACACUCUCUCUCCGACUAUGAAUGCAACAUCACGAACUCUACGGUUGGCAUAACGCUUCUGCAUGGACUGAGUUGUGUGAAGUCUAUCCUGAAUAAUCUUGAACUUAUCCAAGGCAUCUUGUACCAAAUCUAUACCCAAUAUCCGAGCCUCCCCCGGAUCAAACCACCCAACUGGCGAUCCGCACCGCCUACCAUAUAAUGCCUUAUACGGAGCCAUCUGAAUGCUCAAUUGGUAGAUGUUGUUGUAGGCAAACUCCGCAAGCGGCAAGAACUGAUCCCCAGAGCCUCCGAAGUCUGUAACACAAGCGCGAAGCAUAUGCUCCAAUAUUUGAAUGGUGCGCUCAGACUGCCCGUCUGUCUGAGGAUGGAAUGUUCUGCUCAACUUAGCCUGCGUGCAAAAUCACAUUGUACUGCCCUCCAGAAGUGUGAGGUAAACUGCGUACCUCGAUCAGAAAUGAUAGACGCGGGCACUCCAUGAAGACGGAAGAUCUCACGGAUGUAAAUCUCAGCCAACCGCUCUGCGGAGUAGGUAACUGCCACAUGAAUGAAAUGUGCUGACUUGCUCAGCCUUUCCACAAUGACCCAAGCUGCAUCGAACUUCCUCUAAGUCUGUGGGAGUCCAACAACGAAAUCCAUAGUGAUAGUAUGAUGCUCAUACUUUACUUGCUGAUAAUUUCGACACCGAGCUACAUAUGCAACUAUGUCCGUCUUUAUCCUCCUCCACUAAUAAUGCUUCCGCAAGUCCUGAUACAUCUUGGCAGCACCCAGAUGAAUAGAAUACUAGGAACUGUGGGCCUCCUUAAGAAUCAACUCACGAAGUCUAUCUAUAUUAGGUAUACAAACACUCCCCUGCAUCCUCAAAAACUCCAUCAUCUCCAACGGUAAGCUGCUGGGCAUCACCGUGCCGCACUGUGUCCCUAAGGACAAGUAAAUGAGGGUCAUCAUACUGUCACUCCCUGAUGCGCUUAAAAAAGGAAGACCAAACGACUGUACAAGCUAGAACAUGACUAGGCUCAGAAACAUCCAACCUAACGAACUUAUUGGCCAAAGAUUGAACAUCUAAAUGCAAGCAGUAUCUCACCGACUGGAAUGUAUGCAAGGCUGACCAUACUCAUUGAUUUCCUACUCAAGGCAUCGGCCACCGCAUUGGCCUUCCCGGGAUGAUACAAGAUGGUGAUAUCAUAGUCUUUCAAUAGCUCCAACCACCUCCUCUGCCUCAAAUUGAGCUCCUUUUGCUUGAACAAAUACUGCAAACUCUGCUGAUUCGUGAAUACCUCACAUGACACGCCGUAAACAUAGUGCCUCAAAAUCUUUUCCGCAAGAACAAUAACCGCCAACUUUAAGUCAUGAACAAAGUAAUUCAUCUCAUGAACCUUCAUAUGCCGCGACGCGUAUACGAUCACCUUGCCACCCUGCAUCAAUACCGUAUCAAGUCCAAUAUGAGAUGCAUCACAAUAUACCGUAUACGAUACCAAAUGACACCAACACUGACACCAUAGUCAAAGCAGUCGUGAGCUUCUGAAAGCUCAUCUCACACUCGUCUGACCAUUUGAACAGGGCACCCUUCUGGGUCAACCUAGUCAACAGGGUUGCUAUAGAUGAAAACCCCUCCACAAACCGACGGUAAUAUCCCACCAAACCCAAGAAAAUCCGGAUCUCCGUAGCUAAUGUAGGUCUAGGCUAGUUCUAAACUACCUCAAUAUUCUUAGGAUCCAUCUCAAUGCCCUCUGCUGAUACAUCGUGCCCCAAGAAAGCGACUGAGCUCAACCAAAACUCGCAUUUUGAAAACUUAGCAUAUAACUAGCUGUGUCUUAGAGUCUGAAGUACGAUCCGAAGAUACUGCUCAUACUCCUCUCGACUAUGGGAGGAGAUCAAGAUAUCAUCAAUAAACACAAUCAUAAAGGAAUCCAGAUAAGGUUUGAACACCCAAUUCAUCAAAUCUAUGAAUGAUGCUAGGACAUUUGUCAGCCCAAAUGACAUCAUUCGAAACUCAUAAUGCCCUUACCGAGCCCGAAAAGCUGUCUUAGGGACGUCAGAUGCCCUAAUCCACAAUUGAUGGUAGCUAGACCUCAAAUAAAUUUUUGAAAACACCUUGGCACCUUGAAGCUGCUCAAAUAAGUUAUCAAUCCUCGGCAAUGGAUACUUGUUCUUGAUGGUGACUUUGUUCAACUGCCGAUAAUCUAUGCACAUCUUCAUCGAUCCAUCCUGCUUCUUCACAAACAACACAGGCGCACCCCAGGGUGAGACACUAGGUGUAAUGAAUCCCUUAUCAAGCAAAUCUUGCAACUACUCCUUCAAUUCUUUCAACUCUGGCGGGGCCAUGCGGUAUGGAGGAAUUGAAAUGGGCUGAGUGCCCGGAGCGAAAUCAAUACAGAAGUCAAUGUCUCUAUCGGGUUGCAUCCCCGGCAGAUUUGCAGGAAACACCUCUUGAAACUCACGAACAACUGGUACUGAAUCCAUGGAAGAAAGCUCCGCACUAGAAUCACAGACAUAAGCCAAAUAAGCUAGACACCCCUUCUCAACCAUAUGCCGAGCCUUCACAUAAGAGAUGACCCUGCUGGUAGAAUGGCCAGCAGUCCCUCUCCACUCUAAUCGAGGCAACCCCGGAAAGGCUAAGUUCACCGUCUUGGUGUGAGAAUCCAAUAUAGCAUGAUAAAGUGACAGCCAAUCCAUAACCAAAAUGACAUCAAAAUCAACCAUAUCGAGAAGUAAAAGAUCUAUGCUAGUCUCAAGACCCCCUAUGAUAAUCACACACGAACGAUAAACACGAUCUACAAUAAUAGAAUCUCCCACAAGUGUGGACACAUACAUAGGAGAACUAAAAGAAUCACGAGGCACAACCAGAUAUGAAGCAAAAUAGGAUGACACAUAGGAAUAAGUAGAGCCCCGAUCAAAUAGAACUGAAGCAUCUCUAUGGCAAACUGAAAUAGUACCUGUGAUAACCGCGUCAGAUGACUCAACCUCAGGCCUGGCUGGGAAAGAAUAACAUCGGGGCUGGGCCCCACCACUCUGAGCUAUAUCCCUAGGACGGCCUCCUGCUGGCUGGCCUCCACCUCUAGCGACCUAACCUUCAUCUUUAACGGCCUGACCUAUACUGCUGGUUGCCUGACCCCUACCCCUAGCUGGUUGAGCGGGCGGUGGUGCAACUGGUGCUAGAAUCAUGGCACGAGAACUCAGAUGUGGCGUGCGGCACAAUAAUCUCGAAAAAUUCCUUUUGAUAUGCCCCAAACCACCAUAAUCAAAAUAUCCAUUCUGGUGUUGUGGCUGCUGAAACUGAGGUUGGCCCAAACGCGGCGGAUGACCACAGUAGUAACUAUGAAUAGGAGGUACACUGAUAGAAGCUGGUGGUGCACAGUAGGCUGGCUGUCCAUAAUGAGGCACAUAGGGACCACGACUCCCUGAAGCACUGUGGGAUGCCUGAAGCACUGACUGAUAUGACCUGGGAGGAUCGCCCCAACCAAAAGUGCCCCUGCCUCUAGAUGAGGCACUUCUAAAACCAACGAAAUGAUGAGGCCUCUUAUCAGACCCUUGCCCUCUCUCCUGUGAAAGAACAUCCUCGAUCCGCCUCGCGACAGUAGCAACCGUCUGACAAGGAUUCUCAUUUCUGGUCUCAUUGUCCAUCUACAACGUGAUAGGAUGAGCGAGUUCCUCAAUAAACCUCCUCACCUUCUCUCUC